GUACUUAUGAAGAGUCCUAAACUAGGACGACACAAUUGUCCAGUAC
This is a non-coding RNA of Trichobilharzia regenti, 46 nucleotides long. NCBI's taxonomy places the organism in Eukaryota, Metazoa, Platyhelminthes, Trematoda, Strigeidida, Schistosomatidae. The record is from Rfam.